Molecule: ribosomal RNA, 253 nt
Filed under: uncultured bacterium
Lineage: Bacteria
Description: partial 16S ribosomal RNA
Rfam family: Bacterial small subunit ribosomal RNA
Source: RNAcentral
UACGGAGGGUGCAAGCGUUAAUCGGAAUUACUGGGCGUAAAGCGCACGCAGGCGGUUUGUUAAGUCAGAUGUGAAAUCCCCGGGCUCAACCUGGGAACUGCAUCUGAUACUGGCAAGCUUGAGUUUCGUAGAGGAGGGUAGAAUUCCGAGUGUAGCGGUGAAAUGCGUAGAGAUCUGGAGGAAUACCGGUGGCGAAAGCGGCGCCCUGGACAAAGACUGACGCUCAGGUGCGAAAGCGUGGGGAGCGAAAAGG